RNAcentral lists this ribosomal RNA (526 nucleotides) under uncultured bacterium. RNAcentral's name for it is "bacterial SSU rRNA". It matches the Rfam family "Bacterial small subunit ribosomal RNA", at positions 791 to 1315 of the family's 1533-position model. The record is from RNAcentral.
UAGUCCACGCCGUAAACGAUGGGUACUAGUCGUCGGAUUUCCUAAUAGAUUCGGUGACGUCGCUAACGCAUUAAGUACCCCGCCUGGGAAGUACGGUCGCAAGACUAAAACUCAAAGGAAUUGACGGGGGCCCGCACAAGCGGUGGAUUAUGUGGUUUAAUUCGAAGCAACGCGCAGAACCCUACCAAGGCUUGAAAUCCUAGGAACCCAACGUAAUUGUUGGAGUGCCCGCAAGGGAAUCUAGUGACAGGUGCUGCAUGGCUGUCGUCAGCUCGUGUUGUGAAAUGUUGGGUUAAGUCUCGCAACGAGCGCAACCCCUAUCUUUAGUUGCCAGCAUUAAGUUGGGCACUCUAGAGAGACUGCCCGGGUUAACCGGGAGGAAGGUGGGGAUGACGUCAAGUCCUCAUGGCCCUUAUGCCUUGGGCUACACACGUAAUACAAUGGUGCAUACAGAGGGAAGCGACCCGGUGACGGUGAGCAAAUCUCAAAAAGUGCAUCUCAGUCCGGAUUGGAGUCUGCAACUCGA